Molecule: long non-coding RNA, 468 nt
Organism: Rhipicephalus microplus (southern cattle tick)
Lineage: Eukaryota; Metazoa; Arthropoda; Arachnida; Ixodida; Ixodidae
Source: RefSeq, a predicted model, not a curated record
UUACAGCUGCCUCCUGGGACCAGCCAGGAACUGCACAAGGAUGACCCUUCAACCAGUGGGCGGCUCAUUUUCUGCGUCCUGGGACCAGCCAGGAACGUCCACAAGGAUGACCCCUCGACCAAUGGGCGGCUAUUAGUAAAGAAGUCCAACGCUGAAGCGGAGAGGAAGCAACUGGCUUCGAAAAAGUCGGGCAGCAGGAGUGUUUCAAUGAGAGAUGCCGUUAAAAACGUGCACUAGUUUUGUUUAUGUUUUUGCCUAUUUCCUGUACACACUUAGAAAUGUCACAUUAGUAGACUUCGGUACCUUAUGUGUAUAUUUGUGAUCGAAAAAGAAGGUUUCUUCACAAAUGUGAAUGAGUUUUGUUUAUGCUUUUGCCUAGUGCUUGUAUAUACUUAGAUAUGUCCAAUGUAUAUUUUACUUCAGUGCCUUAUGUGUAUACCUGCGAUUAAAAACGAGGGUUCCUUUACU